AGCUGACGAUUGAAAAGAUACAUUUAAAAUAAGAAUUGGAUUUUUGACAUAUGUAAGGUUACAACAUCGAAAAAUUCUUACUUGUAUGCAUAUUUUAUCUUGUCAAUUCUUGGAAUAUCCCCUUACUUUAGAAAGACAUGCCAGCCCUCAGAAAAUGGUGGUGCACAGUACUGCUUGAGAACUUCCACCUGGAUGGGCACGGCAGAAGGUUCCCACACUUCAUUGAGGAGGCCAAACAAAUGGCGGCUGGACUACAUCCACCAGUCUUCAGACUGAAGCGAAAAAGAGAAUGAGUUGGAGCUGAUGGCAGUCAGCAUGAAGAAGCUAUAUCUUUAAGCUUCUGUCGAUUAUUUGUUAAAUACAUUUUGAGGAAACUUUGGUGUGGUUAUUCUUCAAUGUAUAUUUAUAUCAAAUUAUGAUGAUAUACUUAACAAAAAAUUUAAUUUGAUUAUCAGACAUAUUAAAACAAUUACUUAAUUCUAAAUACUUAAUUCUAAUGGUCAACUACAUAAUGAGUAAAGUGUAUAAUACACUAAAUUCCAUUAAAUAAUUGUCUACACACUAAAUUAGUUUAUUUGUCUAACGUUAAGCUAUAAAAAUGCUUACUGACAUAUUGUUUUAUUAUGUUAAUUUUUUGGCCUAAUAAGUUUAACGCAAAGAAAAAAUCCUGAGGUAUUUGUCUAAAUAACGUUAAGAAACCUUUUUUAAGCUAUAAAAAUGGUUACUAACGUGUCGAUUUUUCUUUUUCUUUCUUUGUUAUGUUAAUUCAGGCGAUAAAUCAGUUUAUUUGUCUAUAAAAAAAUAAUCAGAGGUAACUUCCGUCCAGCCACAGUACUUCCGUCCCGCCUGGGUGUUCUGUCACGCCAGGGUGUUGUUCUCCGGAGCUGCAGCUGGAUA
Molecule: long non-coding RNA, 897 nt
Organism: Gadus macrocephalus (Pacific cod)
Lineage: Eukaryota; Metazoa; Chordata; Actinopteri; Gadiformes; Gadidae
Exons: 3
Source: RefSeq, a predicted model, not a curated record